RNAcentral lists this ribosomal RNA (444 nucleotides) under uncultured bacterium. RNAcentral describes it as "partial 16S ribosomal RNA". It matches the Rfam family "Bacterial small subunit ribosomal RNA", at positions 354 to 796 of the family's 1533-position model. The record is from RNAcentral.
GUAAGGAAUAUUGGGCAAUGGUCGGAAGACUGACCCAGCCAUGCCGCGUGCAGGAAGACGGCCCUCUGGGUUGUAAACUGCUUUUAUCUGGGAAGAAAAAGGCCAUGCGUGGCAAAUUGCCGGUACCAGAUGAAUAAGCACCGGCUAACUCCGUGCCAGCAGCCGCGGUAAUACGGAGGGUGCGAGCGUUGUCCGGAUUUAUUGGGUUUAAAGGGUGCGUAGGCGGCUGAUUAAGUCAGCGGUGAAAGACUUCGGCUUAACCGGAGCAGUGCCGUUGAUACUGGUUGGCUUGAGUGUCGGAGGGGUACAUGGAAUUGAUGGUGUAGCGGUGAAAUGCAUAGAUACCAUCAGGAACACCGAUAGCGAAGGCAUUGUACUGGCCGACAACUGACGCUGAUGCACGAAAGUGUGGGGAUCGAACAGGAUUAGAAACCCGAGUAGUCC